RNAcentral lists this long non-coding RNA (204 nucleotides) under Physcomitrium patens. RNAcentral describes it as "long non-coding RNA (PPAT_LNC000352)". The record is from RNAcentral. Lineage: Eukaryota; Viridiplantae; Streptophyta; Bryopsida; Funariales; Funariaceae.
AGCACCAGCAAAAUUCAUAGUUGAUGUAGUUAUUUUCUCCAAGAUAGAUCGUAGUUUGGUCUUUUGAUAUGGAUAGCUAAGAGAUAGAUAGUAUGCCAGUCAGAGUAUCGCAACCGAGUAGCUCACGAAGGCGACCCCGAGAUGAAGAACUACAUGUACCACGACGACGACGGAGGAUAUCGAGUAACCGAUUACUAGUGAUCG